AUGGUGGUCAACCCUGCAACGCGGCAGUGCGCGCGGUUGCCGCCGCUGCCACCGCUGCCCUCGCGCGCCGGGAUGGAGGAUUUCUACGUCUUGGGAGGAGACAAGUUUCUGGUGUUCGAUCCCAGUGUCUCCCCUCACUACGAGGUGGUAUCGAUCCCUCUCGUUCCAUUUGAGGAGAGGCUGGGCCGGAUGCCCAGGGAAUCGGAGUGGCCGCCGUCGCCGUUCGUCCUGCCCGUCUACUCGUCGGACACGAAGCGGUGGGAGGAGAGGGCGUUCGUCCGGCAAGGAGGCGCCGCGGGAACCAUCGCCGGCAUGCUGGAGGAGGACAGGCUAGACCUGGACGUGAAGCGCUACGGCGUGUACCUGCGCGGAGCGCUCUACGCGCAGAUCCAAAUUAAAACGACUUCUGCUGCAGGAUAUCUAUGGCGGACCGUAAGUGUCGGGUGA
This 447-nucleotide ribosomal RNA is filed under the name Triticum aestivum (bread wheat). Its description in RNAcentral is "partial small subunit ribosomal RNA". The record is from RNAcentral. Lineage: Eukaryota; Viridiplantae; Streptophyta; Magnoliopsida; Poales; Poaceae.